UUUGUGGUCGAAACCAUGAUUGCCAGGAGC
RNAcentral lists this non-coding RNA (30 nucleotides) under Macaca fascicularis (crab-eating macaque). RNAcentral also lists the same sequence under 1 other name. The record is from RNAcentral. Lineage: Eukaryota; Metazoa; Chordata; Mammalia; Primates; Cercopithecidae.